AUAGUUCUUGUUUUUAAUAUAGGAAAACUCAACAUGAACAUAAUACAAAACAAUGAACGUGGCAAAACGGAAACAGCCCUAUCUGAUGCAACAAACACAAAGACAGGAAACAACCACCCACAAAACCCCACACAAAACAGGCUACCUAAAUAUGGUUCCCAAUCAGAGACAAAUGACUAACACCUGCCUCUGAUUGAGAACCAUAUCAGGCCCAAACACAGAAACAGACAAACUAGACAUCCAACAUAGAAUACCCACUCAGAUCACACCCCUGACCAAACAAAACAUAGAAACAUACAAAGCAAACUAUGGUCAGGGUGUGACACUCUGUUUUCUGUUAGACAGGUAACCCUCUCACCAGGCUCGAAUUUGACUCUCAUGAUAUUACCUUAUGUAGAGUAUCUGAACAGCAUGUGAUGUUAGGUGAGAAGGACAUCUCCAAUAAGAAUUCCUAUUGUAAACUGUCUAGGGUGAUGACAACAGGGUAUUAACUAAAGAUGAAAUGAUUAUAGGUUUAUGUUAUUGUAUCAGGAUAGGCUAUCCCAUGCAUUCAAUUAAAUUGAAACAUUAAAUGACUCCACCAAGGCAACAUACAUAAGGUUCAAUAUGUGUAUGAUUACAUUUUCAUAGCACAACAUAAAAAAAAUAAUUAAUAAUAAACCCCAAUGAGUCGUCCAAAUUAUUUAAAGCUUAUUAACCCGUUGGCGCGCAUUGGAGCUAAAAAAAAAAUGACAACACACAAAAUCCAGAAGCACCUCACGUUGUGACUACUCACUACUAUUCCUUCAGUGAAGUAUGGCAGUUUCUUGCAGGUUUCCUCACAACAUCCACAGCAAGCACCGCUAUCAAUGCAGACAGUACUCCUUAACCGAUAUCCCAUGGGAACAUGAACUUGUUAAGCUUUCCCAACCAAUUAUCCCUCGGUGUUACACGAUGCUAGGCUAACCUCAAGGCUGUCAAAUACCUCCACGAUGAGUCUUUACUUUUAGUCUUAACAAAAUUAUAACAACUCUUAAAAUAAAAUCGGUAUUUCCCUUCAUGUCUUAGUAGGUAUGGGUUCUGUUCUAGUUUUGUCGUCAUCUUUUAUAAUUUUCUUCACCAACGGUCCUAAUGUAAAACGUCCAUCUUUUCUCAACGUCUCUUUCCCUCUCUUUUUUUCCCAACCCUCCCAUUAACCAGGUCCACUCUCCCAUUGGCCACAGCUUAAACAAGCGACCCUAUUGGUCAAAACUUAAACUUAAAAGUAAACCAAUAAAUAUUUAUUCAAAAAGAAAUGCAUUAACAACAUUACAAUUUAGGAGCAAUUCAAUCACCUUUUAAAUCUAAUAUCAAUUAAUUAUAACAAAUAAACUCAAUACCUAGUUCAAACAAGGGUAUUACAAACAGGUAACUCUUUAUCCACAUUAUAGCAGGGGGUGUAAAGCCAUAACACCCUCUGUGUUCUGUUAGACAGGUAACUCUUUAUCCACAUUAUAGCAGGGGGUGUAAAGCCAUAACACCCUCUGUGUUCUGUUAGACAGGUAACUCUUUAUCCACAUUAUAGCAGGGGGUGUAAAGCCAUAACACCCUCUGUGUUCUGUUAGACAGGUAACUCUUUAUCCACAUUAUAGCAGGGGGUGUAAAGCCAUAACACCCUCUGUGUUCUGUUAGACAGGUAACUCUUUAUCCACAUUAUAGCAGGGGGUGUAAAGCCAUAACACCCUCUGUGUUCUGUUAGACAGGUAACUCUUUAUCCACAUUAUAGCAAGGGGUGUAAAGCCAUAACAUAUACGUUUUUCCAGCAGCAGACUGUGAUCAAUAAUGUCAGAAGCUGCACUGAAGUCUAACAAGACAGCCCCCCACAAUCAUUUUAUCAUCAAUUUCUCUAAGCCAGUCAGUCAGUCAGUCAUUAGUGUACUUCAACUGUAAGUGCUGUGCUUGUUGACUGUCCUUCCCUAUCAGUGGGCUGAAAGUCUGUAGUCAAUGUGUUUCCUGUAAAAUAGCAUUGUAUCUGGUCAAACACUUUUUCAGAAGUUUACUAAGGGUUGGUAACAGGCUGAUUGGUCGGCUAUAUGAGCCAG
This is a long non-coding RNA of Oncorhynchus tshawytscha (Chinook salmon), 2060 nucleotides long. NCBI's taxonomy places the organism in Eukaryota, Metazoa, Chordata, Actinopteri, Salmoniformes, Salmonidae. The record is from Ensembl.